UUUCCCAUUAUUAUAACCUUGAUCUUACCAACCAACAUUGUUCCUUCAUUUCCUGAUUCACAGUUCUUCUAAUCAUUCAUUAUCUAAAUAUAAUUAUCCAAUUCUACUAGUUCUCCUAGACUUGUUUUGGUUUUUUUUUACCAUUUCAUUUAAAAUAUUUUCUACGACCUACCUUCUACGUUAUAUCUAAACAUAGGUUUAAAUAUUUUGGCAUCGGGUGCUUUGUUGUGAUUGGAAAUAAAAUCAAGGAAAACGCCAGAACAAGGUUAAUAGCCGAACACAAAUGUCGUAUAGUAAACUCUCGUCAUAAUGAAACGAUUAUUUUUAGACUGUCACCUUUGAAAGCAGCAAUGAACUCGGAAAAAAAUGGUUAUUUUGAGAAUAGACAGUGCUGCGAAUUUUACGCUAAAGAUAAUGUCACCAUGACCUUGUUGGCCAAUAAUUACUCAGAAGAAUGGUACAUCAAUUAAAAUUAAAUAACAAAUUAUUUCCAGAAUACUUAUCGCAUA
This is a long non-coding RNA of Harmonia axyridis, 509 nucleotides long. RefSeq lists it as uncharacterized. Lineage: Eukaryota; Metazoa; Arthropoda; Insecta; Coleoptera; Coccinellidae. The record is from RefSeq and is a predicted model, not a curated record. The transcript has 2 exons.